CGCGAAUUCGCCCUUCGGAAGAGGGAGCAUGAGAAACCCUUACCACAUCCUUGGAAGGCAGCAGGCGCGCAAAUUACCCAUUCCCGACACGGGGAGGUAGUGACAAUAUGUAACAAUAUACGGCUUUAUUGUCGUAUAAUUGGAAUGAGUACAAUUUAAAUCCCUUAACGGGGAACAAUUGGAGGGCAAGUCUGGUGCCAGCAGCCGCGGUAAUUCCAGCUCCAAUAGCGUAUAUUAAAGUUGUUGCAGUUAAAAAGCUCGUAGUUGGACCUUGGGCCUGGACAGGCGGUCCGCCUCACGGCGUGUACUGUCUUGCUGGGCCUUUCCUCUUGGUGAUCUGUGGUUUCGGCCGCAGGGAACCAGGACCUUUACUUUGAAAAAAUUAUAGUGUUCAAAGCAGGCUUUACGCCCGAAUAUAUUAAGCUGGAAUAAUAAAAUAGGACGUGCGGUUCUAUUUUGGUGGUUUUUGGGAUUGCCCUAAUGAUUAACAGGGAAAGUCCGGGGCAUUAAUACU
RNAcentral lists this ribosomal RNA (514 nucleotides) under uncultured organism. RNAcentral describes it as "bacterial SSU rRNA". It matches the Rfam family "Eukaryotic small subunit ribosomal RNA", at positions 368 to 898 of the family's 1831-position model. The record is from RNAcentral.